GGGAACUGUGGGCAAGAAGAGAGGCGGGAAAGCCAGAGCCAUCCAAUGCUUGUCUUCUGGUGCCCUCCUCCAGGAAGCCAUUCCUGGUGCCCUGGGCGCUGCUCCCAGCCUUGCUCACCCUGGGUCAUCACCGUUUUUGGAGGGGUCUGUGUCCUCCCCAGACUAUAAGACCCAGAAAAGCAGGGCCUGGAGCUAAGUCACAGUCGUGUCCCCAGCAUCCACUGACACAGAAAAAGCCACAAAGAAACAUGGUAAGAGCGUGGCAGAUAACAUCCACGGUGCUAUCGGGAGGUGACAGGUGACUGACCUCAGCCUUGGUGUUCAAGAAGAUUCCAGAAGCACUGCAUCACCAGUGUCUGACACAAAGCCUGGGACAUGUGGGCUUCCAAGUGGACCUCUCCUGGAUAAAUGACCAUUAAUGAAACAGAGAAGGAGUUGAAGAGCCCCCAGAGGAGUGUGAGUCCCAGGGGUCCCGCCAGCUCCACUCCCACCUUCCAAACCUGUGAAAGUCAGGUGCCUGAGUCGCACAGUCUCUCCCACCCGAAUGCCAUGAGCUGCAGGUGAGUGAGCAGUUACUGCAUCCUGGGCCAUGGGCUUGGGUUGUGAAGUUAGGACCUGAUUAGAGGAUGUCAGGGGUUAGCAAUGUACCAAGGAAAGUGGAGAAAGUCAUAGCUCAAUGGGAUCCUGUGGAAUCACUGUGUGGCUGUGUGAGUGGGGGAGGGCGGUAACUAUAGGAGCAUGCUGCACCUUCCUGUUUGCCAAAGAGGGGGCAUGUAGGACACAGAAGCGGAGGGUGCACCACUUCUCCCUGGGUUCUCAAAGUGUCUGAGAUCAAAUCUACUAUGACACAUACCCUGCCUGGCUCCUUUACUGCCCAGCGACCCAGCCUGUCUCUGCAGGAGGGCCAGACAUGCCGUGACAUCACCAGCUCCUCUAGGAAUAUGGGAUACAAGGAGUGGCUGAGAUCGGCUGAUCACCAGCUCACUCCGCUGCAGCCGCCCCAGAGCAAUGGCUCCCCGAAGCCGUGUUCUGGCUGUCUUGGCCGCUUUCUGUUUGUGACUCUCCCUGCCUCCACUCCCCCCACCACCCCAUGAAAUGAUCUCAUUUGGUCAUUUAAACGGAAAACUAAAAAGUUUUAAGUGACUCUAGGAGAGCAGGAGAGAGGCAGGUCUCCCAGCUCAGACCCCGCCCCGGGACGGCCCCACGGAAGAUGCACAUCUGGAUGUAGGCGCUCAAGGCACCGCGCGUGCGCCGAGUGGCCUUGCUCAGCUCCGUCCUUCUGAAACCCGGAAUCCUCAUGUGUCUGGGUCCCGCCCCAUCCUGGCCUCCUACACCACUGGUCCAGAUCCUCCACCUUCCCCCAACGCGAGGUAUUGACAUCAAAGCAUCACCUCAUCUGGCACAAGAAUCUGAAACACAGACCGCACCUUACACCAACGUAGUGAAUCCCUCCUUGGACCUGAGUUCAACAAGCCCAGAGUCGGGGCUCUGGGUUCCCGCCCAAAUGCCACGCAUGCACACAGAUGGCACCUGGCGUCUCCUCAAAGGGACAGGAAUCCCGGGCUUCCCAGAAUCACCAGGUCGAUUUAAAUGGCAUCAGAUGAACUGGAAAAGAAUGAAAGUGCUAUUGCCUAAAGUGAUGAAAUUUUCAGAGGAUGUAUCGGUCCUGUCUGGUGGACAGACGGCCACCAGAGGGAAUGAACCAGUCUUCUCUGAACAUCCAUGAGGAUGAAGAACAGUCACUGAGGUGACGGUACCAAGUCACCGGCCACCUCCCAGGGAUCCUCUCAUCCGGUCCUCACAGCAGCGCUGCAUGGUCGGACCUCAUCACCCACAUUCCACCAAGAGGAAGCUGAAGCCCAGGGCCUUCAUCCACUCAUGUCCUCCAGACCCCUGGCACCCAUCCUGGGCCCCACCCCAUCAUCCAGGCCUUGGGCCUUCGACCUGGGGAGAGUCCCUGUCUCCUCCAUGAGCCGUCCAGGGCCUGAAGAGGUAUCCAAUAAACAAGAAAGCAGAACACAAAGAGCUGUGAUGGAGUGGAUCUUAUGUAGUAAGAAUAAAAUUAUUUUGAGAAAUUACUGGGUCAUGUAUUUACCCACAGAAAAACAGAAGCAAACACACGCGUGCGCGCACACACACACACACACACCACACAGGCUGUCACGUGUCCUCAGCACAAAGUGCCUUGAGAAAGGCCAUUGCUGGCCCCACACUUAUCCUGACUGUGAUCUUGCUGUGAUCAGCACAUCCCAUCAGUGUGGCAACAGGUGUGGCCAGAGUGGGAACCAGGCCUUUUCUUCAGAUUUGCUCUUUGUUCCUGAAUAGCCACCGUCAGAACAGACACCCUCCUAGGAGUCACUUGAUUAAAAAUUUCCUUUUGGAUAUUUAGGUUGAUGUUUUAUCCAUCGGUUAAAGUAUAAAUGUAUAUUUAUUAUAAAAGUGUAAUUAUGGCUCUAAUUAAUGAUUAUGGUGAAUUUUACUAACUAUAGCUAUGAAAAUAUUCCAAUAGAUAAAAACAGUGCUAAAAAUGUACAGUUAAUCCAAGAGUGGUAACUUUAAGUCUUGUAAUUUUUGAUCUAAUAAAUCUUCAUAAAAUAUACAUGAUCAUGAAGUACAUCAGUAGAAUUAAUCCUAAUAUUUACAGCAAUACUUGGCGUGCUGUCUCUCAUAAAAAAUAACAUUAAUAGUAAAAAA
RNAcentral lists this long non-coding RNA (2694 nucleotides) under Homo sapiens (human). RNAcentral's name for it is "non-protein coding lnc-IGFL1-1:4". The record is from RNAcentral. Lineage: Eukaryota; Metazoa; Chordata; Mammalia; Primates; Hominidae.